AUGGCUUUUUCUUCUCUCUCCCUUAUCCUUUUCUGCUUCAUCUUCAUAUCAUUCGCCAUCUCCGACGCCGUUGUUCCCCCCGCCGACACUUUUCGGUAUGUCAACCAAGGCGAUUUUGGAGAACUCGAUUCCGAAUACGCCCCAACCUAUCGUCCUCUUCCUCCAUACACCUCCCCUUUCCAGCUCUGUUUCUACAAUACCACCCCCGGCGUCUACACUCUUAGUCUCCGCAUGGGAACCGGACGUGAUGAAGCGGUCAUGCCAUGGGUGUGGGAUGCCAACAGAGGCAACCCAGUUGGCGAAAACGCCACCUUCUCAUUAGCCUCCGACGGAAACCUUGUACUCGCCGACGGAGAUGGACGGAUCGCAUGGCAAACCAACACCGCCAACAAGGGUGUCGUCGGUUUUGCCAUACUCUCCACCGGUAACAUCGUGCUUCGUGACUCCAAGGGUGGUUUCGUCUGGCAAAGCUUUGAUUCACCUACUGAUACGCUUAUGUUUGGUCAAUCUCUCCGGAUCGGAGGUCCAACGAAGCUCGUCAGCAGAGCUUCAACGACGAACAACGUAAACGGAGCGUAUAGUUUCGUGAUAGAGCCAAAAAGAUUGGGUUUGUAUUAUAAGAACAUGCUUUAUUGGUCUUCCACGUUUCCAUUGUUUCCGGAAUUGAACCAACCAAAUGUGACUAUUGUUAAUGCGACAUUCGCCAUCGUGGAAACCGAAUACAAUAACGACUUUAACGCAAUUAGGUGUCAUCUUUCAAACUCUAAUGCUCAACCUUUUUUGGACAUGGACAUACUCCGAUUCAAUAACACGUUAUCCUAUAUCCGAUUAGGCAUCGAUGGGAACUUACGACUCUACUCUUAUCGUCCUCCGAAUAUCCGUUUUAGCCAAUGGCGUAUCGUGUUCAGAUUGUUCGAUAAUAUGGAGACCACGAGGCGGGGUUUAUAUGAAGACGAGUGCCAACUGCCUGAACGCUGCGGCAAGUUUGGGCUGUGUGAGGACAGCCAGUGUGUUGGGUGUCCGUCGCCGGAGGGUGUUUUUGCGUGGAGCAAAAACUGCAAUGCGAAGACGCCGUCUUGUAAAGCGGGUGGUUCUCGUUACUACCAGCUGAAAGGAGUCGACCAUUUCACUUCUAAAUACUCUCCGGGGAGUGGGCCGAUGAAACAGAAAGAUUGCGAGAGUAAAUGCACAAAGGACUGUAAGUGUAUGGGGUAUUUCUAUCGCACUGAUCUAUCGAGGUGUUGGAUCGCUAACGAGUUAAAAACUUUGACGAGGGUUGGGAACUCGACUCAUUUGGCGUACAUCAAAACACCCAUCCAGUAGUUGGAUAAGUCUACUAGGAAAGAGGGAAUAAGGAAGAUGAAAGAUUUGAAGAAAUAGCACUGUUUACUUGCUUUUCUAUAUUUUUACCUUCCAUUGUCUGUUUGUAUCGAAAUCAAAGAGACUAUGUGGUUGUAUAUUUUUUAAGAUGUAAAACGCUUCGGUAUGCAUAACACAUUUGCAGUAGAAUAAAUGUGUUUACAGUCUACAAGUGGACAAAAUAUUUACAGUUUAAAUAAAGUUUUUUUAAUAAUUAUAAAAAAUAAAAUUAAAAAUUGUUUCAAUAAUUACAAGAACGUAUAAACUGCAAAAUAUGAUUAUCUUGCGGAUUACCAUUUUUUUAUAAUUAUUGAAAAAAAUCUUUUAAUUUUAAUUUUGUUUACUUUAUCUUUUUUAUGUUGUAUGUAGAACUUAAAAAACAAUCAAUCUUUUCUUGUAAAUGCAAACAAUUAGUCCCCUUGUAGACUACCAACACCUUACCUAUUGAAGGCAUGUAUUUUUUCUAUAUGGUAUUUUAUUUUCUAUUAUGAAACAUGAAAUGCAAAUUUAAUUUGAAAAUCAGUAAAUCUAUAAAUAAUUUAAAAAAAAAAAAAAAAAAAACACUAAAAUUACGAUACACAAAAUUGUGUGUCGUCUUUAUUUAUGACAUGACCUUUCUUGACAGGGACUUCCUAGAUACGCAUUGCGUGUCAUAAACACGCGCUUCGUAAGGUUACGGCACGCAAAUGCGUGUCGUCUUCCUUUAUGACAGGGCCUUCCUUGAUACGCAUUGCGUAUCAUAACCGUGCGUCGUAAAUGCGCGUCGUCUAUAGAUGACGCGCAAAAGCGCGUCGUCUAUAGAUGACGCGCAAAAGCGCGUCGUCUCUCUUUAUGACAGGGCCUUCCUUAACGCGCAUUUGCGUGUCGUCUGAGCGUUUUACGAUGCGCAAUGAGCGUCGUAAAAGGCUGUUUUUUAGUGCGAUAAAGGGUCGGCCUUGGUGCCGUAGACCCUGUCGAUAUAGUGAGGAUAACCCACCUCGCGACUUUCGAAACUCUAAACUGAAGAAGCAGAUGCCCGAACCACCGUCUCACCAAAGAUCCUGAACUAUCCAAAGUAGCAAAAUACACAUUAGACCAAGCACAAUAUCCUUCCAAGGGUAAAUUGACCAAUUUACCCUUAACUCAAUUUGGUCCAUGACUAAGGUCCAUAAUGAAAAUAUGAAAGGCCCAACACUAGGUAAGCUCUCAAGCCUAUUAAUGGUCCAAAGACCAAAAGUCUGAAGCAAAGCCCAAUAUUGGCCCAAUUUACUAAAUUGGGCCCACCUCACCAAAUGGGCCUAGAUCCAAGGUCCAUAAUAAUUAGUGAGUCCAAAUUACUCCAUCCAUAAUGUCCAGUCACAGCCCAAGCCAUAUUAGCCCAAUAACAACCCAAUCUCUUAAGGCCCAAAAUGAAAACUCAACAGAGGGAGUACGUUGGGCGUUCCCUUCUUGGUAUGCUGGGUGUACAACAAUGCUCGCGGAUUGGAAUCAGGACACAGACCCACUACGUUGGGCGUACUCCCAUUUAGGCAGGGCGUAACCUCGCUGAACUACAACUCCACAUAAGAUCUUAAUGGCUUAAGCUCUUAAGCCCAAACUUCAGAUCCAUAGACAAAAUAUGCCUAGGAUUCAUAAAGUCUCAAACUUUAUUACUUGGGACGUCCAUAAACCUCUUAACCCAAGGUCUUAAUCCAUUAAGACCUACCUAUAUCACAUAUGAGACAACCAAAGCCCUUGGGACCUCAUUUUUCUUACUCAAGACCUCUCCUAAGGUCUGAAAGGACAACUAAUCUCGACCAACUCGAAUCAUGCAUCAAGUUGAGGUUUUUGGGACAAGAAUGGUGUUAAAACUUCACAACACAAAGAUCUAUACAAUAAGAUUGUCAAGCCAGAGACUUUUUACCUCAAAAGGGCUCCAGAAGAUGAUGCCUCUCCAGAUCUACGAGCUCCAGCCGCCCCACUCCUUCUUUGACAACUUAUGUUUUCUUCUUCUUGGUUUUCCUUUGCCAAAACAAGCUUUCCAAGGUCAACACACCCAACAAUGGAGGUGGAACGGCUAUCUAGGGUUUUCUGAGGGUAAGAGAGUGUUUAUGGAGGCUAGGGUUGGAACCAUAAUGUUCCUUAUAUAGUGGUUGACCCUAAAUUUAGGGUUUCUGGAUGAUAGACGUACGUUGGGCGUACAUCCAGUACGUUGGGCGUACGUCGAGAGACCUCCGCGUUCAUUUACUCCAUUACGUUGGGCGUACCUAGCCAAACACGUGCAUGAAUGCUUGGCAUGCAUGGGACCCCUUUGCUAAACUUCCCCCUUAGGGACCAUUGUUGUCAAUAUCUUCAAUUUACAACAUAUCCUCCAUCCUAAGUUCGUUCCCGACGAACUUUAUAUCCACAUAAAGGGGCGCGAGAAGACCUACGCUUCUAGUGACACACCCCGACCCGAAAACCCAUUUCGAAUAAACCCAAUACCCAUAAAAAGACCGAAACGCCCUUACUCUUGAUCUCGGGAACCCAUAAAUAGAUAUUUUAAGAACGGAGCGUUACAGAUAUUGAUUGGGAUGUUGUACAAGCAUUUAUGGUUUUUGCUAAGGUGUUUUAUGAAGUGUGAAAUCGGUUUUCGGGGUCUUUGUAUGUAACUUUUCGUGCUUACUUUCAUGAUAUGUGUUCAUUGCAUAGCCAUAUUCAUGAAUGCAUUAAAAGUGAUGGCGGGUGAGUUCAAUGGCUAUGAAUAUGAAAGCAAAGUAUGAUAAAUAUUGGGAAAAUGCAGAAAAGAUGAAUUCUAUAUUGUAUGUAGAUGUUGUUUUUGAUCCUCGAUACAAAUUAAAAUAUGUCAAUUGGAGUUUGGAAGAAAUAUAACCUAUCGGUGAUAUUGCAUGUGACUUGAAAAAAAGUUAAAAGCCACUUUGAAUCGACUUUAUGUCUUUUAUUUGGAAAAAGAUCCUAUGCAUGCCAAAAUUCUUCUUCAAACAAGAAUCAUAACAAAAGAAAAGUUAAUGAGAAUCUUAACAUACAAGAGAAACGUAUGCUAAAAUAUAAGGAACAUUUGGAAGAUGAAAAAAAUAGGAGAAUUGAGUGAGCUUGAAAGAUAUUUGUCAGACAAUCAAGAGCCAAGUUAUGAGUCAUUUGACUUGUUGGAUUGGUGGAAGACAAAUAAAGCAAAAUAUUGUAUUUUGGGAAAAAUUGCACGCGAUGUCGUGGUUGUUGCAGUUUCUAUAGUUGCUUCGGAAUCCACAUUUAGCACAUGGGGUAGAGUUUUGGAUUUAUUUAGGAGUAGUCUUUCUCCUAAAAGAGUGCAAGCGCUUGUAUGCACACAAAAUUGGAUUUGGGGUGUGUUUAACAAAACUGCAAAAGUUUGUUAUGAAGAUGUGUUGCAAGAAAUUGAAGACCUUGAAGAAAUUCAAAAUAGUAAGAUUUCAGAUGUUAAAAAGUUUUAUAUCUCUUUGUUAUUAUUUUUUACAAAAUAUAACCUGUAUUUCAGGUUUUGCAAGCGAACUUAGUAUUUGCGCCGACAAUAUCGAUUGAAAGAUACUUUUCUUCUCAUGGUCUUAUAUUGAACUUUUGGUGUGAUGUUUUAAUAUUGAGUUUUUUGAACAAUAAACACAUAUGAAUUGGAUGACAUUUUGGAAGUGGAUAACAUUUUGGAAGUGAGCUUGCGGAUAAUGGAAAAAUAUUUGUGGUUUGUGUGUAUCGGUCUGAUGUUUGAUGUAAUGGAACAAUAUUUGUUAUUUUUAUUUACUGUUUUGGAUGGUUUUUAGGUUGCAUGAAUAGAUACAAAUGCUUGACGUAAUAGAAAGAUUUUAAAAAGUUUUAACAACUUUAAUAUGUUGUUUUUUUAACAAUUUUUUGCAGUUUUCUGGCAAUUUUGAUAGCUUUAAUGUUGUUUUUUUGGCAGAUUUUUUGACAGUUGUAACAAUAUAGCAGUUUUUUUUAACAAUUUAAUGUACUCGACAAAAAAUGAGCCUAAAAAGCCCAAACCGUGAAACUAAACCAGAACCAAACCGUUAGUAACAAUUUGAUUUUGUUUGGUUUUAAUUUUUAAACGGUUCCGCUGCGGUUUUUGAUCGAAAAAAAAAACUGUGAAGACCUCUAAGUAGAGGUUCGUUUUGUAUCAAUAUUAAUAAUAAUUUUUUAGUAGCUUCUUAUUAUCAUUAUAAAAUUAAUAGAAAAAUAAAAAGAAAUAAACACAAGUCAUGAUUACAAUAAUUUAAAAUAUAAUAUUGUUAUUUUAAAAAUAUAUUUUAAUUGCAUUUGUUUAUUUGAUAAUGAUAUCCAUCCCUUUAAUAAUGUAUACAACCGGGAUACCAGUAACUUAUGCACUUUCAAUAAAUUAACAUGCUUUCGGAAAAAAAAAUUGUAAAUUUGUAUUUGUAUGUAUAUAUACAUGCAUAUUUCCAACAAAGCAACACCGCUAACCAUGGCUUUUUCUGCACUCUCCCUUAUCCUUUUCUGCUUCAUCUUCAUAUCAUUCGCCAUCUCCGACGCCGUUGUUCCCCCCGCCGACACUUUUCGGUAUAUCAACCAAGGCGAUUUUGGAGAACUCGAUUCCGAAUAUGCCCCAACCUAUCGUCCUCUUCCUCCAUACACCUUCCCUUUCCAGCUGUGUUUCUACAACACCACCCCCGGCGUCUACACUCUCAGUCUCCGCAUGGGAACCAGACGUGAUGAAGCGGUCAUGCCAUGGGUGUGGGAUGCCAACAGAGGCAACCCAGUUGGCGAAAACGCCACCUUCUCAUUAGCCUCCGACGGAAACCUUGUACUCGCCGACGGAGAUGGACGGAUCGCAUGGCAAACCAACACCGCCAACAAGGGUGUCGUCGGUUUUGCCAUACUCUCCACCGGUAACAUCGUGCUUCGUGACUCCAAGGGUGGUUUCGUCUGGCAAAGCUUUGAUUCACCAACUGAUACUCUCUUGUUUGGUCAAUCUCUCCGGAUCCGAGGUCCGACGAAACUCGUCAGCAGAGCUUCAACGACGAACAACGUUAACGGAGCGUAUAGUUUCGUGAUAGAGCCAAAAAGAUUGGGUUUGUAUUAUAAGAACAUGCUUUACUGGGCUUCCACGUUUCCGGCGUAUCCGGAAUUGAACCAACCAAAUGUGACUAUUGUUAAUGCAACAUUCGACAUCGUGGAAACCGAAUACAAUAACGACUUUAACGCAAUUAGGUGUCAUCUUUCAAACUCUAAUGCUCAACCUUAUCUGGACAUGGACAUACUCCGAUUCAAUAACACGUUAUCCUAUAUCCGAUUAGGCAUCGAUGGGAACUUACGACUCUACUCUUAUCGUCCUCCGAAUAUCCGUUUUAGCCAAUGGAGUCUGGUGUUUAGAUUGUUCGAUAACAGGGAGACCACGAGGCAGGGUUUAUAUGAAGACGAGUGCCAACUGCCUGAACGCUGCGGCAAGUUUGGGCUGUGUGAGGACAGCCAGUGUGUUGGGUGUCCAUCGCCGGAGGGUGUUUUUGCGUGGAGCAAAAACUGCAACGUGAAGACGCCGUCUUGUAAAGCUGGUGGUUCUCGUUACUACCAGCUCAAAGGGGUCGACCAUUUCACCUCUAAAUACUCUGCGGGGACUGGGCCGAUGAAGCAGAAAGAUUGCGAGAGUAAAUGCACAAAGGACUGUAAGUGUAUGGGGUAUUUCUAUCGCACUGAUCUAUCGAGGUGUUGGAUCGCUAACGAGUUAAAAACUUUGACGAGGGUUGGGAACUCGACUCAUUUGGCGUACAUCAAAACACCCAUCCAGUAGUUGGAUAAGUCUACUAGGAAGAGGGAAUAAGGAAGAUGAAAGAUUUGAAGAAAUAGCACUGUUUACCUGCUUUUCUUAUUUUUACCUUCCAUUGUGUGUUUGUAUCGAAAUCAAAGAGUCUAUGUGGUAUACUUUUUAAGAUGUAAAACGCUUUGGUAUGCGUAACACAUUUGCAGAAGAGUAAUGUGUUUCCAGUCUACAAGAAAAAAGAUCGAUUAUUUAUUAAAUUCUACAACGACAUAAAAAAGGGUAGCUGCUAUUUGUAUACACCUCUAGGGAAUGAAAGACGAGAUCACAUCAAUCAUCGUGGUCUUUCUAUAAAUUUUAUAAGGUAGGCUAAAUUUUUUUUCUUAUUUUACCAUUUAGACGCCCUUAAUUAAUUUUAAAUUUUUUUUUUAUUGUCGCCAGAACAAAUGCUAUCAGAAAAGUUAAAAACCCUGUCGCAUGGUAUAGAUACAUGUGGGAUAUUAUUGGAAAAUAGAGAACAUAAUUUUUGGAGUUUCGGUUUUUUGGGCUAAAUUUAGGGUAGAGUGUUAUAGAUGAUUCCUGAUUGGUUAAUAAGGCUGGGGGAAUUGGAGUCACCGAAAAUGCAUUCCUUCUCCCAUCACAUAAGCGUCAUGUCAUUUUUUACCACUCAAAUGUGGUUUCUUGCCACAUCAAGUGUGUAGUGCCACACUUUUCAUUUCUUUUAUUUUUUUGUUUUUUUUAAGUAUUUUAAUUUAAUAAAACUUCCUUUUUUUAACUAUUUUAAUUUAAUAUAACUUAUAUUUUAAUAACAAAAACAUAAUUUUUCAUUACUUAAAAAUUAAAAAAAAAAAACACUAUAUUACGUUACUAAAAAAAACCCAUACAUAUGACAUUUAAAUAAUCUUAGAAACUUAAAAAACAUAAAUAAAAUAACUAAAGCAAACUACAUAAAGUCAUUCUCCGAGAACUCGUCUUCGGGGUCAUCCGGUGAAUCCAAAUUAAGGUUAAUGUUUUGAACCCUAUAAAUGUUUUCCAAGUCAUUGCGAAGAUUGUAAAAUGUUUCAGUGCAAUGUAUCUUUGCUCUCCUGUUUAUAUACUCUUCGCCACCAAUUUCUAUUGGCUAUGUCUCUGGUAUGGUUUCUUCUUCGUCAAACUCACAUAUCGCUUUUCCUUCGUCUUCAUUAAUCAUGUUAUGCAAUAUAAUACAUGUAUAUAUGAUUUCUUGAAGUUUUUCCUUGCCCAAAUAAGUUGUUGGUUUUUUCAAUAUGAACCACCGUUUCUUCAGAGCUCCAAAGGCACGCUCAACAUCUUUCUUAGCUCUUUCUUGAGCUCUCUUAAAUUUCUUUUGUCAAGAACCAUGUGGAGCUGAAAACGGUUUAACAAACACAGCGUACUUAGGAUAGAUUCCAUCGACCAGAUAAUAACCAUACUUAUAUGGCGUUCCACGCACUUGAAAAGAAGAAUCUGGUGCGAAUCUAUCGUAUAUGUUGUUAAAUAUUAAUGAACGGUUAAGAACGUUGAUGUCGUUAAUCGAACCAAGAGAACCAAAAAAAGCAUGCCAAAUCCACAUAUCUUGUGAUACAACUGCUUCAAGUAUGACCGUUGGGUGACCAUGAUCACCUCGGGUAAAUUGCCCAUAAUAUGUUGUAGGGCAAUUUUCCCAUGCCCAAUGGAGACAAUCUAAGCUUCCUAGCAUUUCAAGAAACCCAUGCACACUAGCAUGAUGAGCUUGCAAUUGCAGGAUGUCAUUACGUGUAGGCUUACGUAAAUAUUUUGGACCAGAAAACUGAAUCAUAGUUUUGCAGAAAAAAUGGAGACUGUCUCGUGCUAUCCUAGCAGACAUCCUAAAACUUUCGUCUAGCGCAUCAGGCGGAAUUCCAUAUGCUAACUGACGAAGUGUGCCCGUGCAUUUUUGUAAGAGAGUGAAACCGAGUGUACCUCUAGUAUCGUAGCGUUGUUGGAAAAAACUACACUCCCUCGUUACAUCGUCAACUAUACGUUCGAAUAAACCUUUGAGCAUUCUGAAGCGCCUACGAAAUACCUUGGUAAGUGGCAUUCUCUGCAAAAUAUUCUUGCACCAGACGUUGGUUGACUUCUUCACGAUUUCUGUAAAUAUAUCUUCGUGUUCUCUGUUGAGAACUUACAGCUGCGUUGUUACAUACAACGUUGUAUGUUUGUUCCGCCAUUUAAACACACGCAAUAGCGAUAUCAAAAAUAGUCUGAAAUUCUUCAGAAGAUGAAGAAGAUGACAUUUUUGAGAGAGUGGUGAUUUAAAUUUUUUUUUUUUUUUUUGAGAGAGAAAGGAGAUUGUGUUGUAAAAAAAAAGAUUAAGUUGAUAUGUAUAUAUAUAGAAAAGAAAAAGCAAAAGAAAAAAAAUUAAAUGCUCAACGUCAAUCCUUCCCAACUUCCCUCAACCAAUCAGAACACACGGUCUUAGAGAACCGCACUAUGGCCAAGAUUGUACUAGACCGCGGUCUGAAAACGGUGUUUCAAUACUACGUGGCAUAAAGUGCGGUCUGGAACGGUACCCGCACCGUGAAGCCUAAGUAAAGCAAACGGAUUUUGACGGACACACGAACCCGCGAUACUAGUAACUAUUACCUUUUCAUUAAAUUAACAUUCUUUCAUAAAGAGAAUAUAAAAGUCUAUAUAUAUGCAUAUAUAUCCGACAAGGCAACACAGUAACCAUGGUUUCUUCUCUCUCCCUUAUCCUUUGCUGCUUCAUCUUCAUAUCGUUAUCCAUCUCCAACGCCGUUGUUCCUCCCGCCGAUACUUUUCGGUAUGUCAAUCAAGGCGAUUUUGGAGAAUUCGAUUCCGAAUACGCCCCAAACUAUCGUCCUCUUCCUCCAUUCACCUACCCUUUCCAGCUCUGUUUCUACAACACCACCCCCGGUGUCUACACUCUCAGUCUCCGCAUGGGAACCAGACGUGAUCAAGCAGUCAUGCCAUGGGUGUGGGAUGCCAACAGAGGCAACCCAGUUGGCGAAAACGCCACCUUCUCAUUAGCCUCCGACGGAAACCUUGUACUCGCCGACGGAGAUGGACGGAUCGCAUGGCAAACCAACACCGCCAACAAGGGUGUCGUCGGUUUUGCCAUACUCUCCGAUGGUAACAUCGUGCUUCGUGACUCCAAGGGUGGUUUCGUCUGGCAAAGCUUUGAUUCACCGACUGAUACACUCUUGUUUGGUCAAUCUCUCCGGGUCGGAGGUCCGACGAAGCUCGUCAGCAGAGCUUCAGCGACGAACAACGUUAACGGAGCGUAUAGUUUCGUGAUAGAGCCAAAAAGAUUGGGUUUGUAUUAUAAGAACAUGCUUUACUGGGCUUCCACGUUUCCCGAAGUGAACGACCGAAAUGUGAAUAUUGUCAAUGCAACAUUGGAAAUCCAGAGAACCGAAUACGAAGAAAACUACUUUAAUGCGCUAAAGUGUCGUCUUUCAAACUCUGAAGCUCAACCUAAUUUGGACUUCGACAUACUCCGAUACAAUAGCACGUUAUCAUAUCUCCGAUUAGGCAUCGAUGGGAACUUAAGACUCUACUCUUAUCGUCAGAAUGUCCGUUUCAGCUCAUGGAGUCUGAUGUUCACUUUGUUCACUAGAAGGGUGAGCGAGAGGGGAGAGAUAGUUGAAGACGAGUGCCAACAGCCUGAUCGCUGCGGCAAGUUUGGGCUGUGUGAGGACAGCCAGUGCGUUGGGUGUCCGUCGCCGGAGGGUGUUUUUGCGUGGAGCAAAACUUGCAACGUGAAGACGCCAUCUUGUAAAGCGGGUGGUUCUCGUUACUACCAGCUCAAAGGGGUCGACCAUUUCACUUCUAAAUACUCUCCGGGGAGUGGGCCGAUGAAACAGAAAGAUUGCGAGAGUAAAUGCACAAAGGACUGUAAGUGUAUGGGGUAUUUCUAUCGCACUGAUCUAUCGAGGUGUUGGAUCGCUUACGAAUUGAAAACUUUGACGAGGGUUGGGAACUCGACUCAUUUGGCUUAUAUCAAAACACCUAUUCAGUAGCUCUGUGGUGCACGAGAAACCGGGAACAAGGAAGGUGCACUGUAUAGUUGCUUUUAGUAAAUUCUGACCUUCCAUUGUGUCUUUGUAUCGAAAUCAAAUAAUAUUCUUGUUUUGAUUUAUAAAAAAUUAGGUUAUAUGAGAUAACCGUUAUAUAUAAAUAAUAUUUAAAAUGAUUAAAAAAAUAUUUUUAUUAAAUUCAUCAUUUACAACCAACUUAUAAAAUAUAGCAGAUGUGCAAGAAAAAGAAAAAAACUUUUUUGAAAUAGUAUGUAAGAUGGUGCCGUAAAUAAUGCGAAUUAAUUUAAUAGAAGGAUUUGACUUAUAAUGGUAAGUUUAUCAUAAGAUUUAUGCUUAAAAUUUGAUUUUUUUUUUUUUAAAUCUAGAUGCAACCUUGGGAGGUUGUAAUUAAUUUACGACGGAAUAACAAAUCUAUUUAUAUAAACAAAAUGUAUUUUUAUAAACAAAACAUAAGUUUAUUAUUAUUAAUUUUAUCUUUUUUUAUCCACAUUGUGUCA
Molecule: long non-coding RNA, 11549 nt
Filed under: Lactuca sativa (garden lettuce)
Lineage: Eukaryota; Viridiplantae; Streptophyta; Magnoliopsida; Asterales; Asteraceae
Description: long non-coding RNA (LSAT_LNC007664)
Source: RNAcentral